This is a long non-coding RNA of Alosa sapidissima (American shad), 267 nucleotides long. RefSeq lists it as uncharacterized. The transcript has 3 exons. The record is from RefSeq and is a predicted model, not a curated record. NCBI's taxonomy places the organism in Eukaryota, Metazoa, Chordata, Actinopteri, Clupeiformes, Clupeidae.
UCUGGAAGCCAUGGCUGCUGCCCUCAACAUGCUAAACUGAAACCCUCACAAAUAAACUGAUAUCAAUAAUUAACAUUGAUGGUGAUGGUGGCAAGGGUGCCUUCAUAAGGUGCCAUCCAGCAAGUCCCAGCCUGGAGCCAGAGGCUGGCACUGCACGUCAGAUGGGGGAGGAUCUAUGUUAGGCAUCAGAAAGGUGGUUUAAGCAAGAAGGAAAGAGCUUCUGCAGACAGUGUUGCAAUUAGGUAUGAUACUUUUGGAAAUUGAUCU